This 270-nucleotide unclassified non-coding RNA is filed under the name Hevea brasiliensis (rubber tree). Lineage: Eukaryota; Viridiplantae; Streptophyta; Magnoliopsida; Malpighiales; Euphorbiaceae. The record is from RNAcentral.
GAGAAACAGAAGUGCGACACAUACACCAUGCCAUAGACCACCACAGAUAUAAGAUGUUUAAAGUAAGACUAAGCAGUAGCACAAAAUUUACAAUACUUAAACAUUUCAGAGCAGAACAUGAGUCCAUAACAAUUUAAUGCUUAAUAUUUGAAAGGAAAAUGAGGGAAGAGAAAAUAACUUAACAUGAAAAUUACUCGGCACCUCACAGCAAAUAUUUUAAGAUUGAUAUCUAGUUAUCCAAUAUAUACCUGGGUCUAAAGGCUGCACACU